CUGGAGACAUUUUUGAUUGUCACAAAUGAUGGGUGUUGUGUUUCUGGCAUGGGUAGAGGGAUGCUACUAAACAUCCUACCGUGCACAGGAUGGCCCUCCACAAUGGAUUCUGUGGCCCCAAAUGUUAAUAGUGCCAAAGUUGAGAGACCCUGGGGUAGAGACGUGUGAUGGGAAGGAAAGAAAAUUACCUUUAGAGCUGCGCGCCGCGGCGGCGGAAGAUGGCUGCGGCCGAGUUGGCGGACACUCAGCUGAUGCUUGGAGUCGGGCUGAUCGAAAAGGACACAAAUGGAGAAGUUCUGUGGGUGUGGUGUUAUCCUUCCACGACAGCCACAUUAAGGAACCUGCUGCUGAGAAAAUGCUGCCUUACAGAUGAAAACAAACUUCUCCAUCCCUUUGUCUUUGGUCAGUACAGAAGAACAUGGUUUUAUAUCACAAUAAUUGAAGUUCCAGAUUCUUCCAUUUUGAAAAAGGUGACUCAUUUUUCUAUUGUCCUGACCGCCAAAGAUUUUAACCCAGAGAAGUAUGCUGCCUUCACUAGGAUAUUGUGUAGAAUGUACCUGAAACAUGGGAGCCCAGUUAAAAUGAUGGAGAGUUAUAUUGCAGUUCUCACAAAGGGGAUAUGCCAGAGUGAAGAAAACGGCUCUUUCCUUAGUAAGGAUUUUGAUGCCCGAAAGGCCUACCCGGCUGGCUCCAUCAAAGACAUUGUAUCUCAGUUUGGAAUGGAAACUGUUAUCUUACACACAGCACUGAUGCUAAAGAAAAGAAUUGUGGUGUAUCACCCCAAGAUAGAAGCGGUCCAGGAGUUCACCAGGACUCUGCCUGCCCUGGUGUGGCACCGACAGGACUGGACCAUCCUUCACUCUUACGUGCACCUCAACGCCGAUGAGCUGGAAGCCCUGCAGAUGUGCACAGGUUACGUCGCUGGAUUUGUAGACUUGGAGGUGAGCAACAGACCAGACCUCUAUGAUGUGUUUGUGAAUCUGGCAGAGAGUGAGAUUACCAUUGCUCCCCUUGCAAAAGAGGCCAUGGCAAUGGGCAAACUGCACAAAGAAAUGGGUCAGCUAAUUGUUCAGUCUGCAGAAGAUCCAGAGAAAUCAGAGAGCCAGGUUAUACAGGAUAUUGCUCUAAAAACAAGAGAAAUCUUUACCAACCUAGCACCGUUUUCAGAAGUUUCGGCUGAUGGAGAAAAGAGAGUCCUUAAUUUGGAGGCGCUAAAGCAAAAACGAUUUCCACCAGCAACAGAAAACUUCCUUUAUCAUCUAGCAGCAGCCGAACAAAUGCUGAAAAUCUGACUGUGUGACAGAACGUAUCACUGAUGACUGAUAGAAAGCCCUCUUUCACUCUGAUUACCCACUCACUACAUGAAGUCCUGAAAAUAACAGAGAAACUGUUAUAUCUUUUUAAUGAUUUAUUUGCAAGUAUUGAGAUUUGACCUGAAAAACAAUGAAACACAUGAACACACUUCCGAUUUUCUCCUCGCUGAUUAGCUUCCUGCCUGCUGUCAGUGCUGGACGAAGUGCUAUAACUACUUUAUGUAACAUUACAGAACAGCUAGAGGUCCUGGGGUAAGAGGAAAAAAGCACAUCACGACAAAUGUGAAAGCCUUCAUUAUUACACGUUCCAGUUUGUCUCGCUGUGUAGGCAUAAGCUAAUGGUUUAUUUUCAGAAAGCUGCCUGAAACGUUGCUUUGUAUUCUUCUAGGAAGAACUUUAAUUUCUCCUGAGGAACUCUACUUUCUGAGCCAAACUGCUAAUUUUCUGCGGAACUGUCUAGAAGAUCAUUCAAGAGACCCUGCAGUUGCACUUUCUCGUAAAAGUUAAAAAAAAAAAAAAAAAAAAGGUUUUUCCCGGCCUUUGAACAUUUUGCCUAUGAGAGUUUUGCAUAUAUUUUAUACUUGAGUAGACAACUUUAAUAAUCCAUAUUUAUACUAUCGCAGAAGUAAGCAUUUGGCAAACGUUCAGCCAUUAGCACUCAUUUAACCCUGUUAGCAAUAUUCUUUUGAAAAAAGUGCCAGUCCUUAUGUGAUAAACUAAGAAGCCCAUUGAAUAUAAAAGUGUGUAGGACUGAAACAGUGACCUUAUAUUAUUGCUAAGGGAAUAUGAGAUUAACUUCCUACAGGGGCCAAAACCAGAGAAAGGCUUCCAGCAACUUCAGUGAAAGUAGUUUGGCCACAUGUCAAGCCAAUUGUUUGUAUUAUUUAUGUACCUUUUUCAUAACUGGAAUUGCCAAAUAAGCAUGGAGGUCUAAAUGAUGUACUUGUUAGUGUAUUCAUUCAUAUUGAUUGUAAAGGAUUAUUUUUCACUCAGUACUGAUGUCCUUGGAAAUCUUACCUGGAAACAUGUUUGCAAAAAACAUUAUUGGAUCUUUCAUCUUUUUCUUGGUAUUACAUAUUUGUUCAAUAAAAAUUAAACACCCUCCCUUUUUUUUGAGUGAGGGCAGGGAGUACCUGAAAUAAGACAAUGUUUACUAAGGCAAAUAAUUGAAAAUUAAAUCUGCACUUUAUGGAAA
Homo sapiens (human) is the source of this 2508-nucleotide RNA transcript. It is a transcript of the gene named DENND10 pseudogene 1, with no coding region annotated. NCBI's taxonomy places the organism in Eukaryota, Metazoa, Chordata, Mammalia, Primates, Hominidae. The transcript has a single exon. The record is from RefSeq and is marked validated.